RNAcentral lists this long non-coding RNA (418 nucleotides) under Pelobates cultripes (western spadefoot toad). The record is from RNAcentral. Lineage: Eukaryota; Metazoa; Chordata; Amphibia; Anura; Pelobatidae.
CUUCUAAGCCAGAAGUGGGCCCGGUGCUCCAGUUAACCCCAUUCGGAUGACCCUGGUUGUCGGAUGGUGCGUGAGUCAAAACAGGAGUGUCCAGUGUGCCAAAGAAAAAACCUUUCUUGCUAGGAGUGUCUUGUCACUUUUACCUCUUCUGCCCUCCAUUCUUUCAUGAUCUCCAGAGAAGGGGGGGGGGGAUGAAGUCCUCGUCCCCUGAUGAUGGGUGUCCGACCUAACGUCGGUAUCUCAAUCUUCCAUUGGUGUUGCUGCUGUUGCACCCGCUCUGUCGGAUGGGUUGUUAGCCAGCAUACUGGAGAGGACUUCUUCCCCCGGAGCUGUCAUGGCAGCCUUAAUCCUCGCCUGAAAAUCGGUCGGGGAUAUUGAGGUAAGUCCGACAUGUUGGUUCACACCCUUUCGGUCCGUG